Molecule: long non-coding RNA, 249 nt
Filed under: Neodiprion pinetum (white pine sawfly)
Lineage: Eukaryota; Metazoa; Arthropoda; Insecta; Hymenoptera; Diprionidae
Description: uncharacterized LOC124223233
Source: RNAcentral
CCGUCGCGCAGCGUCGUGCACUCUUCCAUCCUUCAUUCUCGAGCUUUCUUGUUCUUUCGCACCGCGUUUCACAGGUCGUUAGAUACCACGGAUCUCUUGAGAAAAUUACAGAAACCCACGUGGCAAGAAAAGUGGAUAUUUGGAAAAGGUUGAGCAGCUGACAGUCAACUGUGUAUUCGAAAUAUACAACAUACGUUUUAGAAAAUGACACGUAAAAGAAAAAGUAACGACUGCUAUUCAAAUAGACAU